This 870-nucleotide ribosomal RNA is filed under the name uncultured Thermogymnomonas sp. RNAcentral's name for it is "bacterial SSU rRNA". It matches the Rfam family "Archaeal small subunit ribosomal RNA", at positions 4 to 879 of the family's 1478-position model. Lineage: Archaea; Methanobacteriati; Thermoplasmatota; Thermoplasmata; Thermoplasmatales. The record is from RNAcentral.
CUGGUUGAUCCUGCCGGCGGCCACUGCUAUCAGGUUCCGACUAAGCCAUGCAAGUUAAGGGGUCGCAAGACACCAGCGAACCGCUCAGUAACACGCGGAUAAUCUAACCCCAAGUGGGGUAUAGCCUCGGGAAACUGAGGGUAAUUCUCCAUAGCCAUUAUAUGCUGGAAUGCUUUGAUGGUGAAAGCUUCGGCGCUUGAGGAUGAGUCUGCGGCCUAUCAGGUAGUAUGUGGUGUAAAGGACCACAUAGCCGAGGACGGGUACGGGCCUUGAAAGAGGGAGCCCGGAGAUGGACUCUGAGACAUUAGUCCAGGCCCUACGGGGCGCAGCAGGCGCGAAAACUGUGCAAUGCGCGAAAGCGCGACACGGGGAACCUGAGUGCCUUGACACAGUCAAGGCUUUUAUCAAGCCUAAAAAGCUUGAUGAAUAAGAGCUGGGUAAGACGGGUGCCAGCCGCCGCGGUAACACCCGCAGCUCUAGUGGUGGUCACUUUUAUUGAGCCUAAAGCGUUCGUAGCCGGUUCUGUAAAUCUUCAGAUAAAUUCAUUCGCUCAACGGAUGAUCUUCUGAAGAGACUGUAGAACUUGGGACCGGGUGAGGUUGAAUGUACUUCCGGGGUAGGGGUAAAAUCCUGUAAUCCUGGAAGGACAACCGGUGGCGAAGGCGUUCAACUAGAACGGAUCCGACGGUGAGGAACGAGGGCUAGGGGAGUAAACCGGAUUAGAUACCCGGGUAGUCCUAGCUGUAAACACUGCCCACUUGGUGUUGCCUCUCUGUUGAAGGGGGGCAGUGCCGGAGCGAAGGUGUUAAGUGGGCCGCUUGGGGAGUAUGGUCGCAAGGCUGAAACUUAAAGGAAUUGGCGGGGGAGCAC